RNAcentral lists this ribosomal RNA (703 nucleotides) under uncultured Bacilli bacterium. Its description in RNAcentral is "bacterial SSU rRNA". It matches the Rfam family "Bacterial small subunit ribosomal RNA", at positions 65 to 744 of the family's 1533-position model. The record is from RNAcentral. Lineage: Bacteria; Bacillati; Bacillota; Bacilli.
UUCUUUCCUCCCGAGUGCUUGCACUCAAUUGGAAAGAGGAGUGGCGGACGGGCGAGUAACACGUGGGUAACCUACCCAUCAGAGGGGGAUAACACUUGGAAACAGGUGCUAAUACCGCAUAACAGUUCAUGCCGCAUGGCAUAAGAGUGAAAGGCGCUUUCGGGUGUCGCUGAUGGAUGGACCCGCGGUGCAUUAGCUAGUUGGUGAGGUAACGGCUCACCAAGGCCACGAUGCAUAGCCGACCUGAGAGGGUGAUCGGCCACACUGGGACUGAGACACGGCCCAGACUCCUACGGGAGGCAGCAGUAGGGAAUCUUCGGCAAUGGACGAAAGUCUGACCGAGCAACGCCGCGUGAGUGAAGAAGGUUUUCGGAUCGUAAAACUCUGUUGUUAGAGAAGAACAAGGACGUUAGUAACUGAACGUCCCCUGACGGUAUCUAACCAGAAAGCCACGGCUAACUACGUGCCAGCAGCCGCGGUAAUACGUAGGUGGCAAGCGUUGUCCGGAUUUAUUGGGCGUAAAGCGAGCGCAGGCGGUUUCUUAAGUCUGAUGUGAAAGCCCCCGGCUCAACCGGGGAGGGUCAUUGGAAACUGGGAGACUUGAGUGCAGAAGAGGAGAGUGGAAUUCCAUGUGUAGCGGUGAAAUGCGUAGAUAUAUGGAGGAACACCAGUGGCGAAGGCGGCUCUCUGGUCUGUAACUGAC